This 483-nucleotide ribosomal RNA is filed under the name uncultured bacterium. Its description in RNAcentral is "partial 16S ribosomal RNA". It matches the Rfam family "Bacterial small subunit ribosomal RNA", at positions 28 to 507 of the family's 1533-position model. The record is from RNAcentral.
GAUGAACGCUGGCGGCGUGCCUAACACAUGCAAGUCGAACGGAGUCGUUUUGGAAAUCUCUUCGGAGAUGGAAUUCUCGACUUAGUGGCGGACGGGUGAGUAACGCGUGAGCAAUCUGCCUUUAAGAGGGGGAUAACAGUCGGAAACGGCUGCUAAUACCGCAUAAAGCAUUAAAUUCGCAUGUUUUUGAUGCCAAAGGAGCAAUCCGCUUUUAGAUGAGCUCGCGUCUGAUUAGCUAGUUGGCGGGGUAACGGCCCACCAAGGCGACGAUCAGUAGCCGGACUGAGGGGUAGAACGGCCACAUUGGGACUGAGACACGGCCCAGACUCCUACGGGAGGCAGCAGUGGGGAAUAGUGCGCAAUGGGGGAAACCCUGACGCAGCAACGCCGCGUGAUUGAAGAAGGCCUUCGGGUUGUAAAGAUCUUUAAUCAGGGACGAAACAAAUGACGGUACCUGAAGAAUAAGCUCCGGCUAACUACGUG